Molecule: ribosomal RNA, 465 nt
Filed under: Vreelandella stevensii
Lineage: Bacteria; Pseudomonadati; Pseudomonadota; Gammaproteobacteria; Oceanospirillales; Halomonadaceae
Description: partial 16S ribosomal RNA
Rfam family: Bacterial small subunit ribosomal RNA
Source: RNAcentral
CCUACGGGUGGCAGCAGUGGGGAAUAUUGGACAAUGGGCGAAAGCCUGAUCCAGCCAUGCCGCGUGUGUGAAGAAGGCCUUCGGGUUGUAAAGCACUUUCAGUGGGGAAGAAAGCCUUGGGGCUAAUACCCUCGAGGAAGGACAUCACCCACAGAAGAAGCACCGGCUAACUCCGUGCCAGCAGCCGCGGUAAUACGGAGGGUGCGAGCGUUAAUCGGAAUUACUGGGCGUAAAGCGCGCGUAGGCGGUCUGAUAAGCCGGUUGUGAAAGCCCCGGGCUCAACCUGGGAACGGCAUCCGGAACUGUCAGGCUAGAGUGCAGGAGAGGAAGGUAGAAUUCCCGGUGUAGCGGUGAAGUGCGUAGAGAUCGGGAGGAAUACCAGUGGCGAAGGCGGCCUUCUGGACUGACACUGACGCUGAGGUGCGAAAGCGUGGGUAGCAAACAGGAUUAGAUACCCCGGUAGUC